This 504-nucleotide ribosomal RNA is filed under the name Candidatus Portiera aleyrodidarum (primary endosymbiont of Bemisia tabaci). RNAcentral describes it as "partial 23S ribosomal RNA". It matches the Rfam family "Bacterial large subunit ribosomal RNA", at positions 637 to 1141 of the family's 2925-position model. Lineage: Bacteria; Pseudomonadati; Pseudomonadota; Gammaproteobacteria; Johnevansiales (SeqCode); Johnevansiaceae (SeqCode). The record is from RNAcentral.
GUAGCAAGGUUAACCGCAUAGGGGAGCCGUAGGGAAACCGAGUCUUAACUGGGCGUGUAGUUGCUAGCAUUAGACCCGAAACCGAGUGAUCUAGCCAUGGGCAGGUUGAAGGUUGAGUAACAUCAACUGGAGGACCGAACUCACUAACGUUGAAAAGUUAGGAGAUGACCUGUGGCUAGGGGUGAAAGGCCAAUCAAACUCGGAGAUAGCUGGUUCUCCCCGAAAGCUAUUUAGGUAGCGCCUCGGACGAACACUACUGGGGGUAGAGCACUGUUAAGGCUAGGGGGUCAUCCCGACUUACCAACCCUUUGCAAACUCCGAAUACCAGUAAGUGCUAUCCGGGAGACACACGGCGGGUGCUAACGUCCGUCGUGAAGAGGGAAACAACCCAGACCGCCAGCUAAGGUCCCGAAGUUAUGGCUCAGUGGGAAACGAUGUGGAAAGGCAGAGACAGCUAGGAGGUUGGCUUAGAAGCAGCCAUCCUUUAAAGAAAGCGUAAUAAGA